Molecule: ribosomal RNA, 344 nt
Filed under: uncultured soil bacterium
Lineage: Bacteria
Description: bacterial SSU rRNA
Rfam family: Bacterial small subunit ribosomal RNA
Source: RNAcentral
AGAGUGAACGCUGGCGGCAGGCCUAACACAUGCAAGUCGAACGGCAGCACAGAGGAGCUUGCUCCUUGGGUGGCGAGUGGCGGACGGGUGAGGAAUACAUCGGAAUCUGCCUUAUCGUGGGGGAUAACGUAGGGAAACUUACGCUAAUACCGCAUACGACCUACGGGUGAAAGCGGAGGACCUUCGGGCUUCGCGCGAUAAGAUGAGCCGAUGUCGGAUUAGCUAGGUUGGUGGGGUAAAGGCCCACCAAGGCUACGAUCCGUAGCUGGUCUGAGAGGAUGAUCAGCCACACUGGAACUGAGACACGGUCCAGACUCCUACGGGAGGCAGCAGUGGGGAAUAUU